This is a non-coding RNA of Pelobates cultripes (western spadefoot toad), 609 nucleotides long. The record is from the annotation of a GenBank genome assembly. NCBI's taxonomy places the organism in Eukaryota, Metazoa, Chordata, Amphibia, Anura, Pelobatidae.
GGCGUUCCGCUACAAUCUUUUUGAAAUAUUCAUACUAACUUUGUUGGAACUUCCUUGAAAUUCCAACGCAAUCCAUAGAUACCAUAAGACAAAUUGGGGAAUUCUCUGUCUUUUUGGACAAACCUGAGUAGGACAAAAGGUAUUCAAAAGUAGAAUAAUCCAUUCAGUUGAUUAUAUGACUGUACAGAGCUACUACAGAUAACUAGGCAUGGUCCUCUGUGCUGCUAUAAGUUCUCCAAAGACAAGACUGUGCCAUCCACAAAGAGGAACAUUUGGUCCUUAAGGGCUUGGUGUCUAGUCUUGUUAGAUUGCAGUAAACUCUAAUUUUCCGCAAGCCAAUCGGUGGCCAGAAACCUAAGUUGAAGAUGAAAAUGUACAUAUCUGCUAUAAGCAUUCUCAAAUGUAUGAUAUUUUAUAGAGCAUUCAUUAACCUUCUUGUGACAAUAAAUUACCCUUUAUAGAAGUCAUUCCUGACAUCAUUUGUCGAGAAAGGGUUAAUAAAAUGUAAAGACAUAUACAUAAUAAAGUGGCACAUACAUCUAAUUCACGUUACCAAACUGAUGUUAUGUUAGCUGUGCAAAAGUAAAAGUACUGGCUUCACACAGCAAG